CAUAGCCAAGUGGUUAAAGUGUUUGUCUAAGCUGGGUAAAAUGGAAGCGCUUGGUAUUUCUACACCUGUCUCUUUAAAUCUGGGCCUUGGGGCCAAGGUCAGCCCAGCUCUGGAGAUCAGGACGUGCGUGGAGUCCCUGACACACUAAGCCGCUGGGAAUGUGCAGCUCCAGAAUGGGUUUGCUGAGACAAAGAAGAGCUUUGCUGGAAGGAUCCGAGCAACCUAAAUUGACUGAUGCUGAAUAUCCCAGAGUUCCAGUGACUCAGGAGACACACACCAUCCAGUACACAGAUAGAUAAAUAUGUAACAAGGUGAAACAGACAAACCUAGUAAAGAGUAUAAUAUUAAUAAUGACUGAUAAAAGACAAAGUGACUGGCAAGGGACCUAAGCUCCUAACAUCCUAAUGAUUUAUCAUGUUGGCCUGCCCAGGAAAAGUUCUCAGGUGCUGGAUAAGUAAUUGUCAGGAAACUGAUUUGUCCUAAGAGUAUCCUCAAGUGGUGGAAUGG
Mauremys mutica (yellowpond turtle) is the source of this 507-nucleotide long non-coding RNA. RefSeq lists it as uncharacterized. NCBI's taxonomy places the organism in Eukaryota, Metazoa, Chordata, Testudines, Geoemydidae. The record is from RefSeq and is a predicted model, not a curated record. The transcript is spliced from 3 exons.